RNAcentral lists this ribosomal RNA (411 nucleotides) under uncultured bacterium. RNAcentral's name for it is "bacterial SSU rRNA". It matches the Rfam family "Bacterial small subunit ribosomal RNA", at positions 102 to 507 of the family's 1533-position model. The record is from RNAcentral.
ACGGGUGCGUAACGCGUAUCCAACCUUCCCCCGUUACCCGGGUAUACGCCCGCCGAAAGGCGGAUUAAUCCCCGAUACGUCCCCUGACGGCAUUCAGGGCGGGGACGAAAGGUAUUCCGGUAAGGGAUGGGGAUGCGUCCGAUUAGCUGGUUGGCGGGGUAACGGCCCACCAAGGCGACGAUCGUUAGGGGUUCUGAGAGGAAGGUCCCCCACACUGGAACUGAGACACGGUCCAGACUCCUACGGGAGGCAGCAGUGAGGAAUAUUGGUCAAUGGUCGGAAGACUGAACCAGCCAAGUAGCGUGAAGGAAGACUGCCCUAUGGGUUGUAAACUUCUUUUAUACGGGAACAAACGAUAGUACGCGUACUAUUUUGCGUGUACCGUAUGAAUAAGCAUCGGCUAACUCCGUG